AGGUCUGUAAUCUUGGUGGGCGAUACAGAGUUGUGUGCGUUCACUGUAAGUGCAGACCAACAAGAAGUUGACCCUACUUUUGAGCUCCCUCUUUAAUGGGGGGAUUCUUCCAGUUGCCGGGAGAAAAUGGUAACUAAAGCUAGAGAGUAGGGACAAGGCAAGUUGAAAA
Molecule: small nucleolar RNA, 169 nt
Organism: Echinops telfairi (small Madagascar hedgehog)
Lineage: Eukaryota; Metazoa; Chordata; Mammalia; Afrosoricida; Tenrecidae
Source: RefSeq, a predicted model, not a curated record